GACGAACGCUGGCGGCGUGCUUAACACAUGCAAGUCGAACGGAAAGGCCCUGCUUGCAGGGUACUCGAGUGGCGAACGGGUGAGUAACACGUGGGUGAUCUGCCCUGCACUUCGGGAUAAGCCUGGGAAACUGGGUCUAAUACCGGAUAGGAGCCAUUUUUAGUGUGAUGGUUGGAAAGUUUUUUCGGUGUAGGAUGAGCUCGCGGCCUAUCAGCUUGUUGGUGGGGUAAUGGCCUACCAAGGCGGCGACGGGUAGCCGGCCUGAGAGGGUGGACGGCCACAUUGGGACUGAGAUACGGCCCAGACUCCUACGGGAGGCAGCAGUGGGGAAUAUUGCACAAUGGGCGCAAGCCUGAUGCAGCGACGCCGCGUGGGGGAUGACGGCCCUCGGGUUGUAAACGCCUUUCGCUAGGGACGAAGCUUUUUGUGACGGUACCUAGAGAAGAAGCACCGGCUAACUACGUG
This 465-nucleotide ribosomal RNA is filed under the name uncultured bacterium. RNAcentral describes it as "partial 16S ribosomal RNA". It matches the Rfam family "Bacterial small subunit ribosomal RNA", at positions 28 to 507 of the family's 1533-position model. The record is from RNAcentral.